RNAcentral lists this ribosomal RNA (748 nucleotides) under Halorubrum xinjiangense. Its description in RNAcentral is "bacterial SSU rRNA". It matches the Rfam family "Archaeal small subunit ribosomal RNA", at positions 61 to 810 of the family's 1478-position model. Lineage: Archaea; Methanobacteriati; Methanobacteriota; Halobacteria; Halobacteriales; Haloferacaceae. The record is from RNAcentral.
CACGAGUUCAGACUCGUGGCGAAUAGCUCAGUAACACGUGGCCAAACUACCCUUCGGAACACAAUACCCUCGGGAAACUGAGGGUAAUAGUGUAUACCAUACCACCACUGGAAUGAGUGGUAUGCCAAACGCUCCGGCGCCGAAGGAUGUGGCUGCGGCCGAUUAGGUAGACGGUGGGGUAACGGCCCACCGUGCCAAUAAUCGGUACGGGUCAUGAGAGUGAGAACCCGGAGACGGAAUCUGAGACAAGAUUCCGGGCCCUACGGGCCGCAGCAGGCGCGAAACCUUUACACUGCACGACAGUGCGAUAGGGGGAUCCCAAGUGCACAGGCAUAGCGCCUGUGCUUUUCGGUACCGUAAGGUGGUACCAGAAUAAGGGCUGGGCAAGACCGGUGCCAGCCGCCGCGGUAAUACCGGCAGCCCAAGUGAUGGCCGAUCUUAUUGGGCCUAAAGCGUCCGUAGCUGGCCGCGCAAGUCCAUCGGGAAAUCCACCUGCUCAACAGGUGGGCGCCCGGUAGAAACUGCGUGGCUUGGGACCGGAAGGCGCGACGGGUACGUCCGGGGUAGGAGUGAAAUCCCGUAAUCCUGGACGGACCGCCGAUGGCGAAAGCACGUCGCGAGAACGGAUCCGACAGUGAGGGACGAAAGCCAGGGUCUCGAACCGGAUUAGAUACCCGGGUAGUCCUGGCCCUAAACAAUGCCUGCUAGGUGUGGCUCCCACUACGAGUGGGUGCUGUGCCCUAGGGAA